GAAAAAUUGCGUAGGCUUUCUGAACCUCAUUUUCCACACGAGUAGAUUCAUAUUUAUCUCACAGGGUCACAGCAAGGAUGAAACUCAAGCUGAUCUUCACUUGGCAAAGACAUGGAGAGUGCCCAGACCUGCCCACGCGUGGCCCCUGAGCUGGACGAGAGUCAAAUACAUCAACCUUGACAUUCCCUGUGAAGAUGCACAGUUCUCUUUGUCACUGAAGAAUGAAGAUCUAAGUCCAGUGAUGGCUCUUGUUUUCUUCUGACCCUGGAUCACAAAGUGAAAAAUAAGCAGAAAUCAGCAAUUUCCUAUGGUCUGACCUAAAACAUGUCUGAA
RNAcentral lists this long non-coding RNA (333 nucleotides) under Vulpes vulpes (red fox). Its description in RNAcentral is "lncRNA (ENSVVUG00000013988.1)". Lineage: Eukaryota; Metazoa; Chordata; Mammalia; Carnivora; Canidae. The record is from RNAcentral.